GAUGAACGCUGACAGAAUGCUUAACACAUGCAAGUCUUUGGCGAAGCUGUGCUUGCACAGCCUAGCCAAGGCGGACGGGUGAGUAACGCGUAAGGAACUUGCCCUGCAGUCAGGGAUAACAGACGGAAACGACUGAUAAGACCUGGUAAAGUCAGGCGGACUCAUGUCCAGCCUGAUGAAAAGAGAUGCUGCAGGAGAGCCUUGCGUCCUGUUAGCUUGUUGGUGGGGUAACGGCCCACCAAGGCGAUGAUAGGUAGCCGGCCUGAGAGGGUGGACGGCCACAAGGGGACUGAGAUACGGCCCUUACUCCUACGGGAGGCAGCAGUGGGGAAUAUUGGACAAUGGGGGCAACCCUGAUCCAGCAAUUCUGUGUGCACGAUGAAGGUUUUCGGAUUGUAAAGUGCUUUCAGCAGGGAAGAAAAAAAUGACGGUACCUGCAGAAGAAGCGACGGCUAAAUACGUG
RNAcentral lists this ribosomal RNA (463 nucleotides) under uncultured bacterium. Its description in RNAcentral is "partial 16S ribosomal RNA". It matches the Rfam family "Bacterial small subunit ribosomal RNA", at positions 28 to 507 of the family's 1533-position model. The record is from RNAcentral.